UUCCGUAGGUGAACCUGCGGAAGGAUCAUUG
This 31-nucleotide non-coding RNA is filed under the name Ceratodon purpureus. The record is from RNAcentral. Lineage: Eukaryota; Viridiplantae; Streptophyta; Bryopsida; Pseudoditrichales; Ditrichaceae. RNAcentral also lists the same sequence under 385 other names.